GACGAACCGUGCGAACGUUGUUCGGAAUCACUGGGCUUAAAGGGCGCGUAGGCGGUCUCCCAAGUCCGGGGUGAAAUCUUUCGGCCUAACCGGAAAAGGGCCUUGGAUACUGGGGGACUCGAGGGGGUAGGGGCAAGCGGAACUUCCGGUGGAGCGGUGAAAUGCGUUGAUAUCGGAAGGAACGCCGGCGGCGAAAGCGGCUUGCUGGACCCCAUCUGACGCUGAGGCGCGACAGCGUGGGGAGCAAACAGG
Molecule: ribosomal RNA, 252 nt
Filed under: uncultured bacterium
Lineage: Bacteria
Description: partial 16S ribosomal RNA
Rfam family: Bacterial small subunit ribosomal RNA
Source: RNAcentral